Hippocampus comes (tiger tail seahorse) is the source of this 329-nucleotide long non-coding RNA. RefSeq lists it as uncharacterized. The record is from RefSeq and is a predicted model, not a curated record. The transcript has 3 exons. NCBI's taxonomy places the organism in Eukaryota, Metazoa, Chordata, Actinopteri, Syngnathiformes, Syngnathidae.
UCGGCCUGCACCGGCGCGCUGUUCGCAGGCCUCUAUGGAGUGUGGAGCCUAUUCACGAUGCCCGGCUUCCGCAAAAUCCCAUCCAACCUGAAGCAAGAAAGGUGAGCAAAGAAAAAGUGGUCGGUAAACUGGAUUAUAUACAUGACAUCUUAAAGAGAUGUUUUGUUGGACGUAAUGCUAAAUCUUUUCCACUAUCAAAUCAAGAAAACACGCUGAUCUGGAGGUGAUUGUCCUUAAGUGCCCUAUCUGCCCUCCAGUAGAGAUCAAACACUGAACAUCAUGAAGCUGCUCGAGGGCCGCACAGGUCGCUUAGCAGAUCUGGGAUCGGG